UACGUAGGGUCCGAGCGUUGUCCGGAUUUAUUGGGCGUAAAGAGCUCGUAGGCGGUCUGUCGCGUCGGCUGUGAAAACCCGGGGCUCAACCCCGGGCCUGCAGUCGAUACGGGCAGACUAGAGUGCGGUAGGGGAGACUGGAAUUCCUGGUGUAGCGGUGAAAUGCGCAGAUAUCAGGAGGAACACCGGUGGCGAAGGCGGGUCUCUGGGCCGAUACUGACGCUGAGGAGCGAAAGCGUGGGGAGCGAACAGG
This 253-nucleotide ribosomal RNA is filed under the name uncultured bacterium. RNAcentral describes it as "partial 16S ribosomal RNA". It matches the Rfam family "Bacterial small subunit ribosomal RNA", at positions 524 to 776 of the family's 1533-position model. The record is from RNAcentral.